Arachis ipaensis is the source of this 448-nucleotide non-coding RNA. The record is from RefSeq and is a predicted model, not a curated record. NCBI's taxonomy places the organism in Eukaryota, Viridiplantae, Streptophyta, Magnoliopsida, Fabales, Fabaceae.
AGAAAGGGUCAAAUCUUCCUCAGCUUGUUCCUUAUGCCAGAGUCAGGCUCCAACUCAAACCCUUUUCUGCCAAGAUUGAAUCCAAGAGUUAUCUUAGAGUUGAUCCUCAUUACCAAUGCUAUAUAUUUGCUGCUGGAGUUGAAGGCAAUAAAGAGAAGACUGUAGUUUAGUAUACCGGUGUGGUCGAUAUUAGGAAUUAGGAUUUCACCAUCAAUGACAAGUAGCCAAAGAAAGAAGUGAUGGAUACCAAAGUCAUAUGAAAGCUCUGGCCACCUUGAAUCCAACUUUGUUGCCAAGACAUGCAUGCCAAUCUGCCUUUCUACAAGUAUAGAAAUAUUUUGUAAGCUAUGUAUUUACCUCUUUGGCCAACAUCUCCCAAGUCUAAGUGCAAUUGAGAUGUAUAUACUCUUUUAUCAUGAUUUUGAGAUAUUAGAAUCUUCAACUUUCG